UACGGAGGAUGCGAGCGUUAUCCGGAUUUAUUGGGUUUAAAGGGUGCGUAGGCGGACUGUCAAGUCAGCGGUAAAAUACGGGGGCUCAACCUCCGCCCGCCGUUGAAACUGGCAGUCUUGAGUACAGUAGAGGUGGGCGGAAUUCGUGGUGUAGCGGUGAAAUGCUUAGAUAUCACGAAGAACUCCGAUUGCGAAGGCAGCAUGCCGGCUCCACACUGACGCUGAGGCACGAAAGCGUGGGUAUCGAACAGG
RNAcentral lists this ribosomal RNA (252 nucleotides) under uncultured Bacteroidales bacterium. RNAcentral's name for it is "partial 16S ribosomal RNA". It matches the Rfam family "Bacterial small subunit ribosomal RNA", at positions 524 to 776 of the family's 1533-position model. The record is from RNAcentral. Lineage: Bacteria; Pseudomonadati; Bacteroidota; Bacteroidia; Bacteroidales.